Molecule: transfer RNA, 53 nt
Filed under: Caenorhabditis angaria
Lineage: Eukaryota; Metazoa; Nematoda; Chromadorea; Rhabditida; Rhabditidae
Also listed under: 1 other name
Description: tRNA-Ser
Source: RNAcentral
GAACUAUUUUUAAAUGUGUUUUGAAAACAUGUUUUGAGGUAACUCGUAGUUUU